UGAAGAGGAACGAUGACAACGACAUUGGUUGAUUUAGGGUUUUCCCAGUGGUGGUCUUAUGAUGGUUGUAGUUUAACGCAACAACGAAAAGGCGGCGGCUAGGGUUUCACCAACACAUAAAUCGGAUGUGGCCGCACAAUGGGUUGUUUGUGAUAUAGUUCAUCUGGCAGUGAAGAUAUAUCAGGCAGUCGCUCAAGAAGGAUAAAGACAAGGGAAGGCUAAACAUCACAGCAAACGCGAUAAGCGUAAAGUAAAGGAGUCAUAUCAACCGUCGGAAGGGGAGCGCAAGCCUUUCGAAAGAAUUUAUGAUUACGAUGUGUAUAAUGAUAUUGGCGAUCCUGAAUCAAGCUCAAAUUUGGCUAGGCCCGUGCUUGGUGGGAUGACACAUCCUUACCCUAGGCGUUGCCGAAUUGGUCGUGAAAUGACCUCCACAGGAGAAAGUUGUUGUGAAAUCAAUCAGAGACGAAGAAUUUGAGCUUAUGUCAGCUCUUUACCUCCAACUCAGCAUCAUCAGUCAGGCACUCAUUUUCGUUACAAGAUCGUGAAGCUGGUCGUUUGUUGAACGCCCCGGUCUUCUACUCCUCACCGCCUUUCUUAUAGCUCCGCUGGUUGGUGUCUCAGUUGUGGAUCGGUUCACGUUUUAUACCUUAGCUUUCUUUGAGAGGCUAAAUAUGUAUGACACUGCAUCAUAAAGCAGACUUUUCAGCUCAUUUAACCCAAAUUUGUUGAUGUCAACCGCAUAUUAUCGAACAGAUCUAUACCAAGAACAAGUAGAGAAGGUACCAUAGUUUUUGUAGCCGGAUUACACUCAUUAAGUCCGUUCUUAGCUCUCUUCCAACAUACUAUCUCUCGAUUUACAAAGCGCCCGUCCAAGUAAUUAAGGAGUUAGAACGAAUGAGACAUGACUUUUUAUGGGGGGGAAGCAAGGCGGCGAGUAAGAUGUGUUGGGUAGCUUGGGACGAUAUUAUGGCGCCGAGAGAUUUGGGGGGUGUGGGAAUCCAUGCGCUUCGGGAUACCAAAAUCGCCACGCUCGCCAAAUGGUGGUGGCGGUUUAAAGAAGAUCGCAACGGGUUGUGGAGGAAGGUGAUAUGGGGUUUUCAUAACAAUAGUAGUGCGUGGAGUUUUGUUCCAGGUAGGCUCGCUCUUCCGGGCAUAUGGAAACAGGUGGCAAAGAUCAUUCAUGACCUUUCAACGCUUAACAUAAAUCUGCCGGAUUUAUUUCGGGGAAUACCAGGGAAUGGGUCGGACAUCUCAUUCUGGCAUGACUGCUGGGUUUUGGAUGUCCCUUUGGAACAAAAAUUUCCUGCAUUAUAUGCGCUUGAAUCCAAUCGUCAUGUGUGUAUUGCGGACAGGAUUAGUGUACAAAGUGGGUCAGUGGUUCUGCAUU
This 1387-nucleotide long non-coding RNA is filed under the name Helianthus annuus (common sunflower). Its description in RNAcentral is "hypothetical non coding rna". Lineage: Eukaryota; Viridiplantae; Streptophyta; Magnoliopsida; Asterales; Asteraceae. The record is from RNAcentral.